Molecule: long non-coding RNA, 726 nt
Filed under: Equus caballus (horse)
Lineage: Eukaryota; Metazoa; Chordata; Mammalia; Perissodactyla; Equidae
Description: lncRNA (ENSECAG00000034747.3)
Source: RNAcentral
AAUAAAUUUGGACAGGGCCAGUCAUCAUAAAAAGUUGCUUCUUGACACAUUACCAACCCAGGGGCCUGUUUCAACACAGGGACAUAAGUCUUCUCAGCGUGAGAACAGGAUAGUCUCAGAAUAUUCCAGGAGGCCUCGGGUUGUGUCUUCUGAAAAGGGACGAGGCUUCCUUUCCUGAGUCAUAGGGCAGACUGUCUCUGAAUUGGCAGAUCAAUACAACAAAGUUCUCUUCCCUGAACCUGGGCAAAGAGUUCAACAUAUUCUUCCCGGGGUCAUGAGGAGCUCAUCUAGUUGCUUUCUGGAAAGGCUGUGGCAAGAUUCAGCUCUUACUCCAUCAGGUAUGCUGGCUGCUGUUGGUUUGGAGGAAGUUAUACACCGAGACUAGACUGAUGGAUGGAAUUUAAUCACUCCUAAAGAGAAAGAAUCUAUGGUGCCACCUGGAGAACAGGAUUCUUGCUAUUCAAGUGGUGGAGGGUGCCAGGGUUCACACCACGCCCUGGGUGGUAAACUUCCAGACACAUUCAAGAGGUGUUUAUCUUUUGACACUUAGUGGCUCCCUACUGAGGGUAAACCAACUUAGGGAGACAGAGACUGCUGUUUGCAGUGGAGCAGGCAUGGUAACGGGGAUGACAGAGAUUUGGCCUGGGACUCGGAAGAGUGUCGAACUACCUGACCCACCGAUGUGUGUGCUUAAAACUGAGUCCUAGAUUCUGAUUGAAACCAAGU